AUUGAACGCUGGCGGCAUGCGUAACACAUGCAAGUCGAACGGUGUUUGGUGCUUGCACCAGACAUAGUGGCGGACGGGUGAGUAAUGCGUAGGAAUCUGUCUUAGAGAGGGGGACAACCCGAGGAAACUUGGGCUAAAACCGCAUAUUCUCGAGAGAGGAAAGCAGGGGACCGGAAACGGCCUUGUGCUCUAAGGUGAGCCUACGUCGGAUUAGCUAGUUGGUAGGGUAAAAAGCCUACCAAGGCGAUGAUCUGUAGCUGGUCUGAGAGGACGGACAGCCACACUGGGGACUGAGACACGGCCCAGACUCCUACGGGAGGCAGCAGUGGGGAAUAUUGGACAAUGGGGGAACCCUGAUCCAGCGAUGCCGCGUGUGUGAAGAAGGCCUGCGGGUUGUAAAGCACUUUCAGUGGGAAAGAGAAGCGUCUUGUGAAUAAUGGGACGUGGAGACGUUACUCACAGAAGAAGACACCGGCUAACUCUGUGCCAGCAGCCGCGGUAAU
Molecule: ribosomal RNA, 503 nt
Filed under: uncultured bacterium
Lineage: Bacteria
Description: bacterial SSU rRNA
Rfam family: Bacterial small subunit ribosomal RNA
Source: RNAcentral